RNAcentral lists this transfer RNA (59 nucleotides) under Erinaceus europaeus (western European hedgehog). It matches the Rfam family "tRNA", at positions 7 to 64 of the family's 71-position model. From Rfam's summary of the family: Transfer RNA (tRNA) molecules are approximately 80 nucleotides in length. Their secondary structure includes four short double-helical elements and three loops (D, anti-codon, and T loops). The record is from Rfam by way of RNAcentral. Lineage: Eukaryota; Metazoa; Chordata; Mammalia; Eulipotyphla; Erinaceidae.
AUAACUCAGUGGCAGAGUACAAGACUUGCAUGCAUGAGAUCCCAGGUUUGAUUCCUGGU